RNA transcript from Zootermopsis nevadensis, 2887 nucleotides. It is a transcript of the gene named BTB/POZ domain-containing protein mrityu, with no coding region annotated. The record is from RefSeq and is a predicted model, not a curated record. Lineage: Eukaryota; Metazoa; Arthropoda; Insecta; Blattodea; Termopsidae.
GAAAGCCAUGAAUUUGUCAUCUGCGAGCACGGAUGAUCGUUAAAACGUGAAUGCUUUUCAUCGCUUUCGGCUGUUUUCAUUCUGUUUAUGAAUGAAAGAUGUGAAUUGGAGGAAUAAUGAGGUUAAACUGUAUCCAUAUUUAUUUUCUUCUUGUUUAAGAGGAUUGGUUAGGAAAUUGAGAAGUGUUGAAAAUAAUUUUUAUUGUAUAAAUACAUUUGCCUCGAGGUGUGCCAUGUCUGUUUCCAAGGAUCGUCAUUCAUAUGACCGGGACAGCAGUAGUGAUACUGAGGAUUACCACGAUUCUGAUGAUAGGAGAAGGAGGGUUUACCAUAAGAACAGAAUGAGUUAUGGGUCGUCAUCAAAACCAAAGCCAUGUUUGGUCCAGAGACAAGGUGGAGGUGGUCCAAAUGACCAGCGACCACACCUUGUGGCAACACCCAAGCAGUCCCUCAACAUUGCUCCUCGUAACAGGUCCCGCACGCAGCACCACUCACUUGGGCCAGCAAAGAACCAGAUGAACAGGGACACAGACCCAUCUUCUAACAUGACUGUCUCUCCUGUGAGUGACGAGCGUGUCACUCUGGUGGUGGACAACACACGAUUCAUCUUAGACCCUGCGCUGUUCACUGCACACCCAAAUACGAUGCUUGGCAGAAUGUUCAGCUCUGGCAUGGACUUCAUGCACCCGAACGAGCGUGGGGAGUAUGAAGUUGCCGACGGGAUCUCCGCCACAGUGUUUCGUUCGAUCUUGGAGUAUUACAAAGGCGGUUUGAUAAGGUGCCCCCCUACAGUUUCUGUGCAAGAACUGCGAGAGGCGUGCGACUAUCUGCUUGUUCCAUUUGAUGCUCAAACUGUCAAGUGCCAGAAUCUCCGGGGCUUAUUGCAUGAGCUCUCCAACGAAGGGGCACGCUGCCAGUUUGAAGUGUUCCUCGAGGAGCUGAUCCUUCCACUGAUGGUGAACUCGGCACAGCGAGGCGAUCGCGAGUGCCAUGUUGUCGUUCUGUUGGAUGAUGAUGUUGUCGACUGGGAUGAAGAGUACCCACCUCAGAUGGGGGAGGAGUACUCCCAGACCGUUAAUAGCACUGCAAUGUAUAGAUUCUUUAAGUACAUAGAAAAUCGGGAUGUGGCCAAACAAGUUAUGAAGGAGCGUGGACUGAAGAAGAUCCGUCUUGGAAUAGAGGGGUACCCAACUUACAAAGAGAAGGUCAAGAAGAGGGCGGGUGGACGAGCGGAGGUGAUCUACAACUAUGUGCAGAGGCCAUUCAUACACAUGUCAUGGGAAAAGGAGGAGGCCAAGAGCAGACAUGUUGACUUUCAGUGUGUCAAAUCCAAGUCAGUGACAAACUUGGCUGAAGCAACAGCUGACCCUGUUCUGGAACUCGAUGCUGGUGGCAACCCUGUUCCUGCCCCAGCAGUCCAGGGGGCAGAGCAUGAGGAGGGAGCUGUAGGAGCUUGUGGUUCAUGCUAGCAAACAAACGGCCGCAUAUUCAGGGAGCAGGCGUAUGGAAAUUGACUUGAAAUAAACGAUGCCAUGAACGUUCACUUGAGCCAUUAAGUACAGUGGCAAACUGGAAAACUAUUGGUGUUUGACCUCUCAAAUCAAACUUCACAAAAAUUUAAACAAAAGGAUGGACUGUACUAUUUGCAAGCUCUACUUUGCUCACCCCUGUGCUGGAGUACAGACUGACCAAUUUAUAUGUUACUUAAUGAUGUAGGGGUUAAGCCAGUGAGCAGGAAGGGAUUCAAAGGAGACGUGUGGACUGCAUGCAUAUGCCUUGGGGAGGGAGAUUGAUGUAAGCUAUAGCAAUUUCAGUCAGGAUAACAAGUUUUCUGACCAACAUUCACAUUUCUGCAGAAUGAUGAAGCAGUUUACCAAGAACAGGCUGAGAAUCCAGAGAUGUUAGUGUGUGCUCUGAUGGUGGUAAGCCUUCAAAAAACUUCUGUAUCAAGUCCUUGCCAACAGUUCCAUUUCCAUUCCAUACAAGGACCCCUGAGUCCAAAUAGUAUCUUGACAUCAGCUGCAACAAGCAAAUAUUGCUGUUAUACAUCCUUGGUGUAAAAUAUUCAUCAUUUUGACAUGACAGUACUCACGUGGCGUCUCUUGUCCACACUCUCAUAAUACAGCUUGGUGAACUCCUCAGCAGUGUGACAUGCCUGGUCAAUCCUGGUCUUCAGAUCCUGACAACAGCAGUAAUGAGGAUGUGUUAGUGAAGGCAAAAGACCACUUUUGAGGAUAACAUUAAGAUGCAACCACUAUUGGGGGUCUUAUGAACCUAAUACUAAGCCUUGUUCCAUUAGCAGCAGAGAAUUCCUUGACUAGAUAAGCAGUCAUUAGCUUCUUCUACAACAGUGCGUCAAUCCAUUCUCGAAUUUCACUUCAGUAGCCAUAAUUCUGAAUUAUGAAGUUCUCCAUAUUUGAGGUCUGGAAACCAAGCUGACAAGGAUGAGCCAUCACACUGGAAUAUGUUCAUUCUAUAGGGAAAUGCUCUCUGCAGGGGUAGGGGGCCUUUGCACUUCAAUCCUAACCAUAUUCUGUAAUUAUGUUAUGUUUCUGACCCUCUGUAAAAAUACUGGGUAUCUGGAAGUGCAAAAUCAUAAUGUAUUAAGUUUUUGGUUAUGCUUUGUGAAUGGAGGAGCAGAGUAGGAAAAGAAGAGACUGAUACUCUCCAAAAUGCAGUUUGGUCUACUUAACAGCAGGAGUUAUUUCAUCCAUGACAAUCAUCUAAAGAUAUGUUGUAUAAAUGCACUUUUGGGGCGAACAAUGUCGAAGUGCCCACUUUAUUCGAUACAUACGUAUUAUCUCAUGUUUACAGGACUUCCAAGGUAGCAUAUGAAUGUGUCUGUAAUGUAGGUUAGAAAAAUAUAACCUAGCAUAUAUAAUACCGUA